Molecule: ribosomal RNA, 445 nt
Filed under: uncultured bacterium
Lineage: Bacteria
Description: partial 16S ribosomal RNA
Rfam family: Bacterial small subunit ribosomal RNA
Source: RNAcentral
GUGAGGAAUAUUGGACAAUGGGCGCAAGCCUGAUCCAGCCAUGCCGCGUGCAGGAAGACGCAUCUAUGGUGUGUAAACUGCUUUUGUACGGGAAGAAACACUCCCUCGUGAGGGAGCUUGACGGUACCGUAAGAAUAAGGAUCGGCUAACUCCGUGCCAGCAGCCGCGGUAAUACGGAGGAUCCAAGCGUUAUCCGGAAUCAUUGGGUUUAAAGAGUCCGUAGGCGGUUUAAUAAGUCAGUGGUGAAAGCCCAUCGCUCAACGAUGGAACGGCCAUUGAUACUGUUAGACUUGAAUUACAAGGAAGUAACUAGAAUAUGUAGUGUAGCGGUGAAAUGCUUAGAUAUUACAUGGAAUACCAAUUGCGAAGGCAGGUUACUACUUGUGGAUUGACGCUGAUGGACGAAAGCGUGGGGAGCGAACAGGAUUAGAAACCCUUGUAGUCC